This 79-nucleotide transfer RNA is filed under the name Patescibacteria group bacterium. Its description in RNAcentral is "tRNA-Cys". It matches the Rfam family "tRNA". Rfam says of the family: Transfer RNA (tRNA) molecules are approximately 80 nucleotides in length. Their secondary structure includes four short double-helical elements and three loops (D, anti-codon, and T loops). The record is from RNAcentral.
GGGUCCGUAGCUUAGGUGGUCAGAGCGCUUUCUCUACAAAAAAGAGGUCGCAAGGUUCAAUUCCUUGCCGGUCCUACCA